Molecule: long non-coding RNA, 2555 nt
Filed under: Oncorhynchus kisutch (coho salmon)
Lineage: Eukaryota; Metazoa; Chordata; Actinopteri; Salmoniformes; Salmonidae
Description: lncRNA (ENSOKIG00005038058.1)
Source: RNAcentral
CUUUGCAUCUGUCAACCACAGAUAAAUGUUAACAAUCUCCUUCUCUCACCUCACCCACUCACUCACUCACAGAUAGGUUCAGGCAGUUGGAGGUGCUGCAGCAGGUUACCACUGCGUUCUCAUCCCUGGUCGGUGGUGCGUCUACAGACUCCCUCUCCGAGAGCGGAGUUCCAGCUUUAGCUUCGGCCGAGGCCAGGGAGAAGAGGAAGAGGAUGGGCAUGCUGCUCCGCCGGGUCUCCAGAAAAACCCUCAGCCAGACCCAAAUCCAGACACAGGACUCCCAGGACACAAACCCAACUCCCCACAGUCCCGUAGCCCACUUACCGCAGCCCCUGGCCGGCCCCCCUGACAGGCGGACCCAGCUGAAACGAGCCAGACAGGGCCUGGCUGAGUGUGUAUGUCUGACCCCACUGGUAGAGGAGCAAGGCCUAGCCUCGGAAGCACCAGAGCCCCACUCGGUCCCCCAGGAGGGUGCGCUCAGGCUGGAGGUGGGGAAGGAGUAUCAACCCCUGAUCUCCAGUGGUAUUCCAACCAGAAAGAAAAGUCCUGGGGAGGCCAGGGAGUCCUUUGAGAUGGAGGAGAUCCAGAGCUUUGAUGAGGGCAGUAUUUCUGGGAGCUACAUGGGAGCAUCCGACACCACAGCAGUGUGUGUGAUGAGGACUAACAGCUGCCAGUCUGACAGCAGUGGUUUCCUGGAAGAGCCCUUCAUCCCGUCCAUUACCCAGCAUCCCUCACCUGGACCCGAGCUCAUGAAGGCUUUGUCGGGAAUAUCUGGAGGCAGCACUGACAGCCAGAUCACUGUAAAAGGAGCUUCACCCCCCUCGUCCCCUCCAUCCAAUUCCCUGGACCCUUCCCCUCCUUCCCUCUCCACGUGCCACCCAAGACCCGAGUCUCCUCUAUACAGACCAGAGACAACAAGCCCUACAGAGAAGACACCCAGACACCAGGAUUCCCCCACACCCCACUCCCUCCUCUCUGAUGCCUUGGAGAUGACUAACUCUACGUUUGGAGCCAGGCCAAGCCUAAUGGAAAACACUGUCACUGAGGAAGAUGGAUUCUCUUCGGCCUGCUGUGCACCUUGUCAUAAGCCAGACUCUCCGUUACGGCACGUUAUUAUUAUCAUGAAAACAGAUAGAGAAACAGAACACUUUACUCUGGAAUCAGAGGAAGCUGUUCCAAUAGGAGGAGAGGAAAAGGCCAUAGCGGAACAAAGUGGUAAUGUUCAGACAGGAACAGAGGCUGUUGGUGAUCAGGACACCGAUUGUUAUGGGUCACAUGAAGGCUCUCUGAUGGCUCUGGUGCAGAUGAAGAAAGAGAUGGAGAUGAAGAUGGAAGUACAGAUUAGUUCUGGUUUGGAAGGUCCAGUGUUGGGUCCUGUCGCUGUUCCUGAGGUGGUGGAUCAAGGCUCUGAGACUGGAUCUGUUUGUCAGGACCGGUCCUCUGAAGAUCCUCUAUUAGGAUCUGACCCUAACCUCUCAGCAGUGCUAAGCCCUGCCUCACCUCUCCCCCCAGCAGAACCUCUCUCUGCCUCCUCUCUCCCCCCAGCAGAGCCUCGCUCUGCCUCCUCUCCCCCCCCAGUGCACUGGGAAACAUGUGGCUCAGAGAUUUCAGAGGGAUCCUCAAGCUUGGUUGUCCAAGAGCCUGUCUCACCACUAAAUCAACCAACAGACCUACCUCCAGGCCCAGCUUUAACCUCACCUUCAGAGCAAGUGUCACUUCCAGCCUCUUCCCCACCACCAUCUCCGCCCCCAGCAUCAUGCCCACACCAACCUCCAGCCUCAGCUUUUCUGGCAGCAUCCAGCUCAUCUCCAACACAGUCCCAUUCCCCAAUCCCAAACCAUUCUCUUUCAGCCCUAACCACAACACCAAUCCCAUCCUCAAUUCCAAACUCACCAUCAGCCCAUUCCUUAACCGUAGCUCCAUCUCAAGCCCCAACCCCACUCGUCCCCCACAGUGGUGCUUUCAGGUCAGGCCGAUCUGUGUCUGUCCAGAUGCCCUCCUCCCUGCCCUCUGUCUCCCACUCUGCCCUCCGGAGAGCUGCUGUCCCCCACACCCCCUCCCCGCUCGGCCCUUCCUUCGAGCCCCUCCCCCUGACUGACCAGACGCUCCGGCAGAGGCGGAACUCCUUCUCCAGGAAGGCGUGGUCAGAUGCUGAUGUCUCCCACUUUGCAGAACACAGAAACACUGCGGUUGCCAUGGGAAAGGCAGACAUGACACCUGAGACGAUAUCCCUCCCGUCCCCCUGCCCCUCCCCCUCCAUGUCAUCGUCCAAUCGGUGGCUGUCUCGCGAUGGUUCACGAAGAUCCGGAAGUUUCCAGAUGAAGUCCACCUCCUUGGACACUGGGCUGUGGCAGGAGGAAGUGGGGGAAGAAGUGGGGGAUGAGGAUAGACGGUGGGAACGAGCCCUGUUCUCUGGGCUUUCCUGCUGCUGCUCCUGUGAUAACCGCUGUCGCUGCUGUUCUCAGAACAAUCGCCACAAACCGUCCUCCGUUUCAGCUUUCCCUGUAAGUAACACACACAAUUCAGUUACGCGCUCUUGUCAAACCCUAAAUUGA